RNAcentral lists this ribosomal RNA (434 nucleotides) under uncultured bacterium. Its description in RNAcentral is "partial 16S rRNA". The record is from RNAcentral.
GCACGAAGUUAGCCGGGGCUUAUUCUGCGGGUACCGUCAUUAUCUUCCCCGCCAAAAGAGCUUUACAAUCCGAAGACCUUCGUCACUCACGCGGCAUGGCUGGAUCAGGCUUGCGCCCAUUGUCCAAUAUUCCCCACUGCUGCCUCCCGUAGGAGUCUGGGCCGUGUCUCAGUCCCAGUGUGGCUGAUCAUCCUCUCAGACCGGCUACGGAUCGUCGCCUUGGUAGGCCGUUACCCCACCAACUAGCUAAUCCGACGCGGGCCCAUCCAUUGGCGAUAAAUCUUUCCCCCGAAGGGCUUAUCCGGUAUUACCCCAAGUUUCCCUGGGCUAUUCCGAACCAAAGGGUAGGUUCCCACGCGUUACUCACCCGUCUGCCACUCUCCAUUGCUGGAGCGUUCGACUUGCAUGUGUUAGGCCUGCCGCCAGCGUUCGUU